UAGACGUAUUUACGUCAAAAACCUUUCAACCACCUAACACGGCUGGUAGCCCAAGACGCACUUAUUAUAAUUUGCUUUCUCUGUUGUAACGCCGUGUGGACUAACAUGUUGAUGCCAACGUUUCGCAGGAACAUAAUGACUCCAUCGUUAGGGCUAAAUCCACGUACAAGACCUGGGGGCCUUACAAUUGUGAAGGCUAACAUCGACAUCUUCACAACCUUGAGAACCAUAUCUCUCAUUACUGCUCCUUCGGAACCCAUUAGCGAACUGUAUAGCAUUACCAGUUCGCAUGAAUCUCAGUCUCGGGUUCAGUAAUGUGUCCCUACGCACUGAUUGAUAAAACACUGGUAUAUCACUAUGAAUUUCAAAGUUUUCAGCUACAACUCGGAGUAUAAGUAACGAAACCGAAGUUCCUGGUCAUGCCGAAGAGAGAAUGGCAAUUGUCACUUGAGGAAAAAUAAUAAAACAACGGGAAGCAGAAGGAUAAGAAUAAGAAUGAAGAGAAGAAAUGUUGGCCUCAAUAUUUGAUGUAUUACAAGAUUAACAGCAGCUGCCACUUUAAACAGCACUGGGUUUCUUGAUACAAGAGUGGACAUCGAAUGGCAGUGAAGUACACAUAUUUUUCAAACGUAUUAUUUGCUAUUUUAAAUACCUUAAUAACUUGAUGUGCUCUCAAUGCGCACACAAGUCUUGUCUGCUGUUUAGCGUAUUUCAUUGGCCUUGAGGUUUAUUUAAGAUACAAAUAUUUUUUGCGAUGUUAAUCACGCUACAAAUGAGUUAAUCACAAUGCACACAGUUCUAACUUGUACUGUACCUUGAAUUUAUUUAAAUAUUCGCUGCAUCGAAAAAUGUUUCAGAUGUCAACUGUAGGUCUUUAUUGAGAAACGCAGAUAAAAUGAAACCCUACUACUACACACAAACUGGCUGGACAGCUGAUGCACUGCUUGAAAACGGUACAAUGUACUCUGGACCAAACCCUGAGCCAGUUGAAUCCAGUCCACAUCUUGACACACUGCUUCAACGGUAUUUACGUUAUCGGCACAGACCAAAAGCUGAUGCGUUAUAUUCAGUUUAAAUUAGCCCGACUGUUAGUUACCUUGGGUUUUCGUACUAACGUACUGAAAAGCGAAGUUGAAAAAGGCAAAGAUACGCGCAAUCAAUUAAAAACUGAGGUAAAUGCUCCUGCGAAAUGCAACCGACGUCACAACCCAGAAGUCCGAGAGAGACGAGAGAAAAUAAAUUACUUCGGCAAAGAUAUUAAUUCCGAUUUGCUUCGCGUAAAACCGAGGUGUUGUCUUUCGACUGGUAACUGUUCGUCAAGCGAUUUCUAGACUCGUAACUAAAAUAUGAAACAUUUGUAGGAAAGAACAAAGUCUAUAUCGGUAAUAAAAUGGCAUUAUUUCUCUAUUGUGUAAAAAGUGGAAAUACGAAGAUUUCUGU
Zootermopsis nevadensis is the source of this 1440-nucleotide non-coding RNA. Lineage: Eukaryota; Metazoa; Arthropoda; Insecta; Blattodea; Termopsidae. The record is from RefSeq and is a predicted model, not a curated record.